UUUAAAAAAAAGCGUUUAUUUCAUCACAGCAUAUCAUCUUAAUCGUAGAUUUUACCACCAAAAGGAGAUGUCAUACAAAGGAGAUUAUUAUCUAAAGACGAUUAUUCAAAAUCGGAAAAUAAACUGUCACUAUACUGUCUUCUGUUUUAAGUCAAAACAUUUAAAGCUUUUGCCUGUUUGUCGAGAAAUAAGACACUGGAUGUAAACGUUGCCUUAAAGUGAGGCAAUAACACAGUUUGAAAUAAAAUAAAGAAGGUGGGAAUGAAGAUAAGAAUUUGAAGCAACAAGAAUUUUUUAUUACAUUUUUCAAGUUUUUUUCAUUGUACUAAAGCACAUAAUAUGGCAAACUUGAAGAUACUUUUGACUGCUGUUUAUUUUUUCAAACUCGCAAAAAAACGUUUUUAUUUGUUACCGGUUAGUCGCCUAAUGUUGUUCAGUCGUACAGCUGAACACUGGCUCUAAGAAAUGUGCACAUAAAAAUACCUAUUUUCUCUCCUCCUAUUUUACCAUUCUGUACCAUUUAUACCUUGAGUGUGUUACAAAAGUAAAUCUAUAGGGUAUAGACAUCUGCUGAUGAGGCCUCAUUUUUAACCUAUGCGCUAACAGCCCUUCAAAACCACAGCAAUAAAUAAAUAAAAAACAAACGUAUAUUUUAUAUAACGUGUAACCGAGUGGUAAGGUGGGGUUGUAUGGUGACAACAACAGUUCAACACUCGAACCAAAAAGGCAGGAACAGUCAGCAGGUGUGCGACCCUUUAUUUCUCGUACGAUGGUCACGGCUGCGUCGAUCGCCCGAGGCGCUAGAGGUCGGAGCUGUCUCUUCUUCGUUCGUGUAGCUGUGCGCGCUGUCUCCGCCGACUCUGUUCUGUCCUUUUCGUCUCAGCUCUGCCCUUAUAUACCUCUGGGAAGGGGUAAACUUUUCGAUGCUCUGAUACGGUCGGAACAAUACGCCGUUUUACCCUAGCCAAUCACCGCUAUUUGCCAUCUCUCACCAUGCCCUAGCAGAUCCCGCCAAAACUAACAACAAUGCUGGCGUACAGGCCCACUACAAACGUAUGAUCACGCUCGUGAAGGAGCAUACUCUCGGCUAUUGAGACAAGAACGAGACAUGGACAGCAUAGGAAGAACAGAAAGAUUAAGCAACAUAAGUAAUAAAAGACAAACAUAGGAGACACGUCGAGGAAUCGAACAAAAAACAGUAAGAGUUACCUAAAUCUGCAGAAGAAGACGAGAGGCAGACAAGUCUAUAGACGACAAAAAAAAACAAAAAACAAAAAAAAAAAACAAAAAACAAAACAAAACAAGAAAGUUCAUUGCAAACCUUUUCUUUAAGUAAUAUUCAAUUUAAUUAUUUUUUUUUCUUCUGCAGGGCUACUAUAGCGUAUGUGGGAUGCCUUACGUCAUGUGGAGAAGAUACGACAUCGUAUUUAAAACAGCUAAAGGAAGCUUUGGACGCCUUGGGAUUUACCUGUGAUCUCCCUAAACCAGAUACUGGUUCCGGUUCCGGUUCAGUCUCAGGUUCAAGUCUCCCAUGCGGUCUUCUUAUUGUCCUUGAUGCACUGCUUCUUGCUGCUUACAAAAUCUUCGACUUUUAAUUAUCUGUCACUUAAAGUUUAACCUGCUCUUAAACUGUAACAUGUAUAACGUGUAAUUAUUAACGUUUCUGGAGAUAAGAAACCAUCUAGUACUCCAUUGUAUAUUUAAUAAUGUAAUGAAACUAGUAAAAUAAUUGUAGAAGCUAUUAAAGACAGCAUAUUGAGAGGGGGUAAGUGUUGAAUGACUUGAUAUAUGCUUAAUAGUCAGCAUAAAAAUUUAUAAACAUUCAUUUCAAAAACAAGUAAUGUGCGACAAACAGAUAUAAUAACAGCAACAGAGAGCUGUAAGUUAAAUACAAAUUUAGAGACAGUUUGUAGUUGCUAGUACAUGGCGUCCAUUGCCUCAUGCGUAGUUUCAAAACCGAAGGUACACUCCAGGAUGUGCAGACCAACGACUGAAGCCAGUAACUGCUGAGGGAAUAAUAUUGAUGAUGUUUAUUAUACUUCAGAGAUUGUUUUAAAAUAGUAACUACUUUAAGACUUGAACAGGUGUUGCUUCAAGAUGAAAUAAAAAAAUUGAUGUACAUCUCACUUAUAAAAGACUUAACAUCUGGAAACAGCAGGUUAUAUGGAAACAUUCUUCUUAAUAAAAGUGUUUUAAGUGA
Molecule: long non-coding RNA, 2200 nt
Organism: Pomacea canaliculata
Lineage: Eukaryota; Metazoa; Mollusca; Gastropoda; Architaenioglossa; Ampullariidae
Exons: 2
Source: RefSeq, a predicted model, not a curated record